GACGAACGCUGGCGGCGUGCUUAACACAUGCAAGUCGAACGGUAAGGCCCCUUCGGGGGUACACGAGUGGCGAACGGGUGAGUAACACGUGGGUGAUCUGCCCCGCACUUCGGGAUAAGCCCGGGAAACUGGGUCUAAUACCGGAUAGGACCACGCUCUGCAUGGAGUGUGGUGGAAAGCUUUUGCGGUGUGGGAUGGGCCCGCGGCCUAUCAGCUUGUUGGUGGGGUGAUGGCCUACCAAGGCGACGACGGGUAGCCGGCCUGAGAGGGUGUCCGGCCACACUGGGACUGAGAUACGGCCCAGACUCCUACGGGAGGCAGCAGUGGGGAAUAUUGCACAAUGGGCGCAAGCCUGAUGCAGCGACGCCGCGUGGGGGAUGACGGCCUUCGGGUUGUAAACCUCUUUCAGUACCGACGAAGCGCAAGUGACGGUAGGUACAGAAGAAGCACCGGCCAACUACGUG
This 464-nucleotide ribosomal RNA is filed under the name uncultured bacterium. Its description in RNAcentral is "partial 16S ribosomal RNA". It matches the Rfam family "Bacterial small subunit ribosomal RNA", at positions 28 to 507 of the family's 1533-position model. The record is from RNAcentral.